RNAcentral lists this ribosomal RNA (579 nucleotides) under uncultured bacterium. Its description in RNAcentral is "bacterial SSU rRNA". It matches the Rfam family "Bacterial small subunit ribosomal RNA", at positions 338 to 917 of the family's 1533-position model. The record is from RNAcentral.
CCUACGGGAGGCAGCAGUGAGGAAUAUUGGUCAAUGGACGAAAGUCUGAACCAGCCAUGCCGCGUGCAGGAUGACGGCCCUAUGGGUUGUAAACUGCUUUUAUACAGGAAUAAACCACCGAACGUGUUCGGUGCUGAAGGUACUGUAAGAAUAAGGAUCGGCUAACUCCGUGCCAGCAGCCGCGGUAAUACGGAGGAUCCAAGCGUUAUCCGGAUUCAUUGGGUUUAAAGGGUCCGCAGGCGGGGUAUUAAGUCAGUGGUGAAAGCCGGCAGCUUAACUGUCGAAUUGCCAUUGAUACUGGUACUCUUGAGUGUAGUUGAAGUAGGCGGAAUAAGUCAUGUAGCGGUGAAAUGCAUAGAUAUGACUUAGAACACCGAUUGCGAAGGCAGCUUACUAAGCUACUACUGACGCUCAUGGACGAAAGCGUGGGGAGCGAACAGGAUUAGAUACCCUGGUAGUCCACGCCGUAAACGAUGAUCACUCGCUGUUGGCGAUAUACAGUCAGCGGCCAAGCGAAAGCAUUAAGUGAUCCACCUGGGGAGUACGCUCGCAAGAGUGAAACUCAAAGGAAUUGACGGA